RNAcentral lists this ribosomal RNA (211 nucleotides) under uncultured bacterium. RNAcentral describes it as "partial 16S ribosomal RNA". It matches the Rfam family "Bacterial small subunit ribosomal RNA", at positions 1282 to 1500 of the family's 1533-position model. The record is from RNAcentral.
CCGUUCUCAGUUCGGAUCGGAGUCUGCAACCCGACUCCGUGAAGCUGGAUUCGCUAGUAAUCGCGCAUCAGCCAUGGCGCGGUGAAUACGUUCCCGGGCCUUGUACACACCGCCCGUCAAGCCAUGGGAGCCGGGGGUGCUUGAAGUGCGUCGCCGCAAGGCGCGCCCUAGAGCAAAACCGGUGACUGGGGCGAAGUCGUAACAAGGUAGC